This is a non-coding RNA of Paramuricea clavata, 289 nucleotides long. NCBI's taxonomy places the organism in Eukaryota, Metazoa, Cnidaria, Anthozoa, Malacalcyonacea, Plexauridae. The record is from the annotation of a GenBank genome assembly.
GCGAUAUACUUGUGUGUCUUAAUAGUCUUAUUAGAUAGCUUAAGAUCUACGACGUCGACGUCAGCUAGGACGUCAGGGCUAAGCAGAGGACUGGGAAUAGGACAUCGUCCUAAAUAAGUCGAUAGCUAAGUAUCUACGACGUCAAAUAUUUAGGGCGACAAGCGGAAGUAAAUUGGUAAUAGUUUUUGAAGUGUGCACGUGUCUCCCUCAAUUUGCCCGCCGUCCACCAAACGUCGACAACCUCACAACAAGAGUUUUGUAGUCUUGGAUACAAAAGCAUAACAAACGG